This 253-nucleotide ribosomal RNA is filed under the name uncultured bacterium. RNAcentral's name for it is "partial 16S ribosomal RNA". It matches the Rfam family "Bacterial small subunit ribosomal RNA", at positions 524 to 776 of the family's 1533-position model. The record is from RNAcentral.
UACGUAGGGGGCAAGCGUUGUCCGGAAUCAUUGGGCGUAAAGAGCGUGUAGGCGGCCCGGUAAGUCCGCUGUAAAAGUCAAAGGCUCAACCUUUGAAUGUCAGUGGAUACUGCCGGGCUAGAGUCCGGAAGAGGCGAGUGGAACUCCUGGUGUAGCGGUGGAAUGCGCAGAUAUCAGGAGGAACACCGAUGGCGAAGGCAGCUCUCUGGUACGUGGCUGACGCUGAGACGCGAAAGCGUGGGGAGCGAACAGG